RNAcentral lists this ribosomal RNA (253 nucleotides) under uncultured bacterium. RNAcentral describes it as "partial 16S ribosomal RNA". It matches the Rfam family "Bacterial small subunit ribosomal RNA", at positions 524 to 776 of the family's 1533-position model. The record is from RNAcentral.
GACAGAGGGGGCAAACGUUGCUCGGAAUCAUUGGGCGUAAAGCGCACGUAGGCGGUCGUCUAUGUCGGAUGUGAAAGCCUCGGGCUUAACCCGAGAAGGGCAUCCGAAACUGGCCGGCUUGAGUACGGAAGAGGGUAUCGGAAUUCCCGGUGUAGAGGUGAAAUUCGUAGAUAUCGGGAGGAACACCAGUGGCGAAGGCGGAGACCUGGGCCGAUACUGACGCUGAGGUGCGAAAGCGUGGGGAGCAAACAGG